CAGCAGCCGCGGUAAAACAGAGGGUGCGAGCGUUAAUCGGAUUUACUGGGCGUAAAGCGUGCGUAGGCGGCUUCUUAAGUCGGAUGUGAAAUCCCUGAGCUUAACUUAGGAAUUGCAUUCGAUACUGGGAAGCUAGAGUAUGGGAGAGGAUGGUAGAAUUCCAGGUGUAGCGGUGAAAUGCGUAGAGAUCUGGAGGAAUACCGAUGGCGAAGGCAGCCAUCUGGCCUAAUACUGACGCUGAGGUACGAAAGCAUGGGGAGCAAACAGGAUUAGAUACCCGCGUAGUCCCUGUCUCUUAUAA
Molecule: ribosomal RNA, 301 nt
Filed under: uncultured bacterium
Lineage: Bacteria
Description: partial 16S ribosomal RNA
Rfam family: Bacterial small subunit ribosomal RNA
Source: RNAcentral